Molecule: long non-coding RNA, 249 nt
Organism: Penaeus monodon (black tiger shrimp)
Lineage: Eukaryota; Metazoa; Arthropoda; Malacostraca; Decapoda; Penaeidae
Exons: 4
Source: RefSeq, a predicted model, not a curated record
CCUUUAAAUUGCGGCCUUUAUGCUACACUUUCUACAGUUUCAACAUGGCAAACUAUACUAAAGGAAUGUUAUUGUUGUUCUUGCUUGUCUGCCUCGUAUCUGCAGCAAUUGCAGAUUCAAUAAAACCAAGCAUUAACGGCGGCGGCGCACCAAUAGAAAGACCACCAUAAACAUUUAAGAGCGAAACAGAAGCAAGAUAGAAACAAGAAACAAAUGGAUAAUAAAACACUUCUCUAUCCAAAUUCAUUA